Molecule: ribosomal RNA, 403 nt
Filed under: Helicobacter pylori
Lineage: Bacteria; Pseudomonadati; Campylobacterota; Epsilonproteobacteria; Campylobacterales; Helicobacteraceae
Description: bacterial SSU rRNA
Rfam family: Bacterial small subunit ribosomal RNA
Source: RNAcentral
UGCUAUGACGGGGGUAUCCGGCCUGAGAGGGUGAACGGACACACUGGAACUGAGACACGGUCCAGACUCCUACGGGAGGCAGCAGUAGGGAAUAUUGCUCAAUGGGGGAAACCCUGAAGCAGCAACGCCGCGUGGAGGAUGAAGGUUUUAGGAUUGUAAACUCCUUUUGUUAGAGAAGAUAAUGACGGUAUCUAACGAAUAAGCACCGGCUAACUCCGUGCCAGCAGCCGCGGUAAUACGGAGGGUGCAAGCGUUACUCGGAAUCACUGGGCGUAAAGAGCGCGUAGGCGGGAUAGUCAGUCAGGUGUGAAAUCCUAUGGCUUAACCAUAGAACUGCAUUUGAAACUACUAUUCUAGAGUGUGGGAGAGGUAGGUGGAAUUCUUGGUGUAGGGGGUAAAAUCA